Molecule: ribosomal RNA, 253 nt
Filed under: uncultured bacterium
Lineage: Bacteria
Description: partial 16S ribosomal RNA
Rfam family: Bacterial small subunit ribosomal RNA
Source: RNAcentral
UACGUAGGGGGCAAGCGUUGUCCGGAUUUACUGGGCGUAAAGGGCGUGCAGGCGGUCUGUUAAGUGCAGGGUGAAAGCUCCCGGCUCAACUGGGAGAGGUCCUUGCAUACUGGCGGACUUGAGGGGGGUAGAGGAAAGUGGAAUUCCCGGUGUAGUGGUGAUAUGCGUAGAUAUCGGGAGGAACACCUGUGGCGAAGGCGGCUCACUGGCCCGGAACUGACGCUGAUGUACGAAAGCGUGGGGAGCAAACAGG